This 1724-nucleotide long non-coding RNA is filed under the name Bemisia tabaci. RNAcentral describes it as "lncRNA ENSASIAIIG012198". The record is from RNAcentral. Lineage: Eukaryota; Metazoa; Arthropoda; Insecta; Hemiptera; Aleyrodidae.
CCUCUGAUCAUUUGUGAUGGCAGAUUUGAGUAUUUUUCAGUUUCAUUUCCAGUUUUUAGCUCUAUCAUCGAGCCAUCACCCAUAAAUCUAAUGACCAGACUCACAACUGAUAGCUCCAAUUGAUUACAGCCAGCCAAUCACGCGUAGCUUUGUUGCCUCUCCGACGGUGACGUCAAAAAGUCUAUAAAAGCGUAAGCUGCAGGUUUUUUCGGGGUCUUCCUCCAUCUUGACCCAUGCCCCGCGUGUGUGCCAUGUCCACCCUUCUGGCACCUUUCUUCGUUUAACUUAAUUUAUCAUCAUUUCUUUCAGUGCACGAAUAACAAAAACUCUUCUUGUUUCGUGCUUAUACGUGACAGUUUUCCUCAUGCUUGUUUUUUAACAUUGAACACAAUAACUCUGAUUUUUUCGCAAAAAAUAGACACAGACGUUAGUACUCAAUGUUCAAGCCUUAAUGAAUUCACCGGGCAUCGCUACUUCAGUCAGAGAGCAAUUAAAAUUAUUUUUGAUGGAACUGAGAGACAAGACAAUAUCUUUUACCAUCAGCGGGUUUUUGAAACUAGAACUUCCAACAUUUGUCUCUUUUCUGAAAGGCGUUUUCACAAAUCUACUGAUUCUACUGCAGUUCUCAAACCCUGGUGACAGCUACGAAUGAAGUCUUAUAUAGUAAGGUGGGUAAUGGAAUGGAACCAUUUGAUUGUUCAGUAUUCAAAUUUAGAUCCAGCUCUACUUUCUUAAAUCGGUCUCAUCGCUAUGUUUUUAAUAUUAGUAUGUAUAAACAAGUGCCCACAGUCAUAUGAUCAAAGUUGAAUAUUUGUAUUGAAUAUUGGUCAAAGUUCAAUUCGUAGACCGUAUCAAUGAUCGCAAUCAAUUCGUUGUAAAAACCUUCAGUAUUUACUGAAUCAAGCUACAAAUCGACGGCUAUAGCUGAAGAAUGUAUAACUUUAAUGCAUUGUUGCAUACUUUCAAACCACCAAUAACGUAUUUUUUUAACGGGAAAUUUUGAAAUACCUUCCUGUUUUCUAAAAAAUGUUUGAACAAUUGUAGGGAAUUGACAAAAAUCACACGCAUAUCUCACAAUGAAUAGGGGAAUUACAAAACACAAAUAAUUUUUUCUUCUUUCUUUUUCUAAAUAAUAUACAUAAGCGAAGAUUCACCAUGUCGGAAUUAGAGAUAAGCAAAAUUUGAAUUAGGCCAUCGAAAUAUUCAGGAGAGUGUGUUCACGGAGGAAUUGAGUGAUUUCAUUUGGCAUAAUCACUCAAUAAUUUGCCAUCAAUGUGUCACAAAAAGCGUGAAUAUAUCCAGCUAGCAUUUUUCGAUUCACUCAUAGUCGCGUUGCCAGUUUGCCUUCAACUUGCUGUGUAUGCAAUUGUACAUGCGAAGUUACCUGGGAGCCGUUGGCUACAUUGAAGGAGUAAAAAUGGUCGAAUUAAAUGAUAUCUGAUAAAAAGUGACUGUACCAUUAAAGUUUACCGAUGAUUGUUGACGAUUGUGAAAUAACGCAUGAGGAACGGAGAGAAUGUGGUCUUUUUUUAAAUUAAUGAAUAACAUAUUUUUUGUGUCUGGUUCGUGCUAAUGACUAAAUUAAAUUAAUUAGAGUUUUUUGUGGCAUUUACGAAUAGAAACAAUUGACAGAAGAGAAGAAUGCUCAACAUUUUCGAAGCAGGAAAGAGAAAAUCAAUAUAAUUGACGAGCCGUUCAGUUUGUCACUCUUAUAAUCAAUAAAU